Molecule: ribosomal RNA, 270 nt
Filed under: uncultured archaeon
Lineage: Archaea
Description: partial 16S ribosomal RNA
Rfam family: Archaeal small subunit ribosomal RNA
Source: RNAcentral
CUGCAGCUCAAGUGGUGAUCAUUUUUAUUGGGCCUAAAACGUCCGUAGCCUGUUUAGUAAAUGCCUGGGUAAAUCGUGUAGCUUAACUAUACGAAUUCCGGGUAGACUGCUAAACUUGAGACCGGGAGAGGCUAGAGGUACUCCUGGGGUAGAGGUGAAAUUCUGUAAUCCUAGGGGGACCACCAGUGGCGAAGGCGUCUAGCUAGAACGGGUCUGACGGUGAGGGACGAAGCCCUGGGGCGCAAACCGGAUUAGAUACCCGAGUAGUCC